Molecule: small RNA, 350 nt
Filed under: Histoplasma ohiense
Lineage: Eukaryota; Fungi; Ascomycota; Eurotiomycetes; Onygenales; Ajellomycetaceae
Description: hypothetical lncRNA
Source: RNAcentral
UCUGUGCUCGGAUCGAGUGUAUUACCGUUAAUGCAAAUGGAAGGCAUGGCUGCUGAGGAUUAACGGGUCAAACACUCAGUCGGUUGUAGGGUGAUAGAAAUAAUAGGUGGCAAUUAUGCUUGAUAUAUAAAUAAGUAGUGUAGAGAAAGAUAUAUAAAUAGGUACGGUAGAGACAGAUAUGUAUGGAGAGUCCAGAGAGACAGGAUAGGGAACAGAGAGGAAAGGAGGAAAAAAGGGAAAAGGGAAAGGGAGAAAAGGAGGAAGAGUAGCUGCAAUAUAAAAGAACCAAACAAGCUGGAGAACGCGGAAAUCAGCCGUGGAAGGGGGAGUGUGGCUCUGAGGCAGGUGGC